RNAcentral lists this ribosomal RNA (513 nucleotides) under uncultured bacterium. RNAcentral describes it as "partial 16S ribosomal RNA". It matches the Rfam family "Bacterial small subunit ribosomal RNA", at positions 28 to 523 of the family's 1533-position model. The record is from RNAcentral.
GAUGAACGCUGGCGGCGUGCCUAAUACAUGCAAGUCGAGCGAACAGACGAGGAGCUUGCUCCUCUGACGUUAGCGGCGGACGGGUGAGUAACACGUGGAUAACCUACCUAUAAGACUGGGAUAACUUCGGGAAACCGGAGCUAAUACCGGAUAAUAUAUUGAACCGCAUGGUUCAAUAGUGAAAGACGGUUUUGCUGUCACUUAUAGAUGGAUCCGCGCCGCAUUAGCUAGUUGGUAAGGUAACGGCUUACCAAGGCAACGAUGCGUAGCCGACCUGAGAGGGUGAUCGGCCACACGGGAACUGAGACACGGUCCAGACUCCGACGGGAGGCAGCAGUAGGGAAUCUUCCGCAAUGGGCGAAAGCCUGACGGAGCAACGCCGCGUGAGUGAUGAAGGUCUUCGGAUCGUAAAACUCUGUUAUUAGGGAAGAACAAAUGUGUAAGUAACUAUGCACGUCUUGACGGUACCUAAUCAGAAAGCCACGGCUAACUACGUGCCAGCCGCCGCAGUAA